UGCAUUCACUACUAUAAGUCGCUCUGGAUAAGAGCUUCUGCUAAAUGACUAAAA
Non-coding RNA from Salmo salar (Atlantic salmon), 54 nucleotides. Lineage: Eukaryota; Metazoa; Chordata; Actinopteri; Salmoniformes; Salmonidae. The record is from Rfam.